CAUGUACAUAUACAAAACUCAAAGCAAAGCAUGUGACAUGAUUAUUUUUGGUUUGAGAAUGGGUGGCAUGGGAAAAGAAGCACGUUGCAUACUCAAGAAUACACGUACUUUAGGUCAUCUGUUGGUAGAGCAACUGCCUGACAACCUUGGGCAGCAGGCAGGUGCCCCAGGCUGUUUCUCUACAGGCCGUCGACAUCCCAGUUGUUCCUGCAGAUCAACGAGACAAAAGGGAGACCAUGCGUCUGUAAUUCUAGCGGCCGGAAGAUGGGUGACAAAUCCAGUGAAAGGGUAGCAUACAUGGCACAUGGACUUUUCUGGAUAGACCGAGGCACCGCGCCAUCAGCUUCCCGUGCAUAUUCGAUCUUUACCCACCCCACAUCUAUCCAAUACCAUUUGGGUAGGGUAUGUGUGUGUGGAUAGAUUGGUUAAAUUGGAUAUGGGUAUGAGUCACAUACCCAAGCAAUA
RNAcentral lists this long non-coding RNA (465 nucleotides) under Oryza brachyantha (malo sina). RNAcentral describes it as "long non-coding RNA (OBRA_LNC002294)". Lineage: Eukaryota; Viridiplantae; Streptophyta; Magnoliopsida; Poales; Poaceae. The record is from RNAcentral.